RNAcentral lists this ribosomal RNA (305 nucleotides) under uncultured bacterium. RNAcentral's name for it is "bacterial SSU rRNA". It matches the Rfam family "Bacterial small subunit ribosomal RNA", at positions 333 to 638 of the family's 1533-position model. The record is from RNAcentral.
CAACCUACGGGGGGCAGCAGUGAGGAAUAUUGGUCAAUGGGCGGGAGCCUGAACCAGCCAAGUCGCGUGAAGGAAGAAGGUACUUAGUAUUGUAAACUUCUUUUGUCGGGGAACAAAGGCGGAGACGCGUCUCCGGAUGAGUGUACCCGAAGAAAAAGCAUCGGCUAACUCCGUGCUAGCAGCCGCGGUAAUACGGAGGAUGCGAGCGUUAUCCGGAUUUAUUGGGUUUAAAGGGUGCGCAGGCGGGAGAUCAAGUCAGCGGUAAAAUGGCGGGGAACAAGCCCGGCCGGGCGUUGAAACUGGGU